UACAGAGGGGGCAAGCGUUGUUCGGAAUUACUGGGCGUAAAGGGCGCGUAGGUGGCCUUCUAAGUUGAACGUGAAAUCCCUGGGCUCAACCCAGGAACUGCGUCCAAGACUGGGAGGUUUGAAUCCGGGAGAGGGAUGCGGAAUUCCAGGUGUAGCGGUGAAAUGCGUAGAUAUCUGGAGGAACACCGGUGGCGAAGGCGGCGUUCUGGACUGUUUCUGACACUGAAAAACGAAAGCCAGGGGAGCAAACGGG
This 253-nucleotide ribosomal RNA is filed under the name uncultured bacterium. RNAcentral's name for it is "partial 16S ribosomal RNA". It matches the Rfam family "Bacterial small subunit ribosomal RNA", at positions 524 to 776 of the family's 1533-position model. The record is from RNAcentral.